ACUUCGGUACAUCGGUGACAGGUGGUGCAUGGUUGUCGUCAGCUCGUGUCGUGAGAUGUUGGGUUAAGUCCCGCAACGAGCCGCAACCCCUAUUGUUAGUUUGCCAUCAUUCAGUUGGGCACUCUAGCGAGACUGCCGGUAAUAAACCGGAGGAAGUGGGAUGACGUCAAAUCAUCAUGCCCCUUAUGACCUGGGCUACACACGUGCUACAAUGGUUGGUACAACGAGUUGCGAGUCGGUGACGGCGAGCUAAUCUCUUAAAGCCAAUCUCAGUUCGGAUUGUAGGCUGCAACUCGCCUACAUGAAGUCGGAAUCGCUAGUAAUCGCGGAUCAGCACGCCCGCGGUCGAAUACGUUCCCGGGCCUU
This 366-nucleotide ribosomal RNA is filed under the name uncultured Streptococcus sp. RNAcentral's name for it is "bacterial SSU rRNA". It matches the Rfam family "Bacterial small subunit ribosomal RNA", at positions 1017 to 1382 of the family's 1533-position model. Lineage: Bacteria; Bacillati; Bacillota; Bacilli; Lactobacillales; Streptococcaceae. The record is from RNAcentral.